RNAcentral lists this ribosomal RNA (428 nucleotides) under uncultured bacterium. RNAcentral describes it as "partial 16S ribosomal RNA". It matches the Rfam family "Bacterial small subunit ribosomal RNA", at positions 354 to 796 of the family's 1533-position model. The record is from RNAcentral.
GUGGGGAAUAUUGGGCAAUGGGCGAAAGCCUGACCCAGCAACGCCGCGUGAAGGAAGAAGGCUUUCGGGUUGUAAACUUCUUUUGUCAGGGACGAAAAAAAUGACGGUACCUGACGAAUAAGCCACGGCUAACUACGUGCCAGCAGCCGCGGUAAUACGUAGGUGGCAAGCGUUAUCCGGAUUUACUGGGUGUAAAGGGCGUGUAGGCGGGAAAGCAAGUCAGAUGUGAAAACUAUGGGCUCAACCCAUAGCCUGCAUUUGAAACUGUUUUUCUUGAGUACUGGAGAGGCAGAUGGAAUUCCGUGUGUAGCGGUGAAAUGCGUAGAUAUACGGAGGAACACCAGUGGCGAAGGCGGCCUGCUGGACAUUAACUGACGCUGAGGCGCGAAAGCGUGGGGAGCAAACAGGAUUAGAAACCCCAGUAGUCC